This is a long non-coding RNA of Haemorhous mexicanus (house finch), 410 nucleotides long. RefSeq lists it as uncharacterized. Lineage: Eukaryota; Metazoa; Chordata; Aves; Passeriformes; Fringillidae. The transcript is spliced from 2 exons. The record is from RefSeq and is a predicted model, not a curated record.
UACUACUAAUGAAACCUUGCCUUAGAGCAGUUGUCAAAUAUGAUGUGUUAUUUACAUCAACAGUGACUCAGGCAGCAUUUACUAUUUCCCCUUUAAACACAGCAGGACACUGCCUGCCCUCAGAGAUUUGUGGAUCCUAACCCUGCAGAUGGAUGGAUGGACCCAGGGCUGGUGAAUGGAAGGGAAAACAAUGCGCCGGGCAAGGGGAUGGGAGAGCACGCAGACCAGCAACCACAGCUCCACGUCAGUGUUUGGGUUGUGGAAGACCUUCAUAAACAUGGGAGCAGCAAGAACCUGUGUACCACAGGACAAAGAGCUUACUUUGUUUAAGUGCCACUGAUGGCAAUGGUUGCAUGCCACUGUUACUGUACACUUCAUGAAGGCUGAAUAAAGGUAGUCUUAAUACCCCC